AAAAUUAGAGUGUUCAAAGCAGGCAGAUCCAAUUUGCUGCCACCGAAUACAUUAGCAUGGGAUAAUGGAAUAGGACCCUGUCCUCCUAUUUUCAGUUGGUUUUGGCAGCGCGAGGACUAGGGUAAUGAUUAAUAGGGAUAGUUGGGGGCAUUAAUAUUUAAUUGUCAGAGGUGAAAUUCUUGGAUUUAUGAAAGAUUAACUUCUGCGAAAGCAUCUGCCAAGGAUGUUUUCAUUAAUCAAGAACGAAAGUUAGGGGAUCGAAGACGAUCAGAUACCGUCGUAGUCUUAACCAUAAACGAUGCCGACCAGCGAUUAGGAGACGUUGAAUACAAAACACCACCAUCGGCGCGGUCGUCCUUUCGUGCGUCGGUCCUUCUACGGGGCCGGCGCGGGGGCGGCUUAGCCCGGUGGCACCGGGCAA
Molecule: ribosomal RNA, 421 nt
Filed under: Acanthamoeba sp. strain KER
Lineage: Eukaryota; Discosea; Longamoebia; Acanthamoebidae
Description: SSU rRNA
Rfam family: Eukaryotic small subunit ribosomal RNA (bases 1-374)
Source: RNAcentral